UACGUAGGGGGCAAGCGUUGUCCGGAAUUAUUGGGCGUAAAGCGCGCGCAGGCGGUCUUUUAAGUGCUGUGUUUAAUUCCAGGGCUCAACCCUGGCUCGCAUGGCAAACUGGGAGACUGGAGUGCAGGAGAGGAAAGUGGAAUUCCACGUGUAGCGGUGAAAUGCGUAGAGAUGUGGAGGAACACCAGUGGCGAAGGCGACUUUCUGGCCUGUAACUGACGCUGAGGCGCGAAAGCGUGGGGAGCAAACAGG
Molecule: unclassified non-coding RNA, 252 nt
Filed under: uncultured Paenibacillaceae bacterium
Lineage: Bacteria; Bacillati; Bacillota; Bacilli; Caryophanales; Paenibacillaceae
Description: contains 16S-23S intergenic spacer region
Rfam family: Bacterial small subunit ribosomal RNA
Source: RNAcentral